UCCACCAGCGCUUGCUUUGCUUUGUCCCUCGCCUCGCCGGAGCGCCACCGCGUUCCGGUCUCUACUCGCCCCCGAUUCCCUGCUCCCAGCGGUCGUCAUCCAUCAUGGUUUGCCUGCUAGCGCAGGCCAAGGAUUUCCCUGGCUAGUUGGGCUCUGAUGAAGGCUCGCAACUGACCACCGGCCACCACGAACACUACAAACGACCUCACCAUGCCGCCGGCGAGGCCGGCCUCACCGGCACCGGCCGUUGUGGACCACUCCCCAACUCAUGUUUCUGCAGCCCCGUUCAAUUCUAGGUUGAGGCGUUGAGCUCAGAAUAGACCAGCACCGGGAUAGCUUUGCUGUUCCAGCCUGCACAAGCAUUCAGGUUCCUCACUGUUGCAACCCUUGGAGUGGGCAUCGGCCUAUGAGAGCAGCGAAGCCACCAUGAGCUAGGAACAACAGGGAAUCAGGGGUGCUGGCCUUCGAGGGUGUCUACUGGUCGUGGGCUCGUGGCAGUCGCUCAGCCACCUGCAUGUGGUCGCCCUUCACCACCAACGCCGUGUGAGCUCCCACGUCGUUGAUCUGCACAACAAGACCCAAUCCUAAUUUUACAAUCGUCCGCACCCAACAGAACUCACGGUCGACGACCAACGUGUGGGGCCCACGCGAUGUGAUUUUAUCUCUUCCCCUCCCCUCUUCUUUCCCUUUCCCUCUUUCUCUUUUUUCCUUCUACGGAU
This is a long non-coding RNA of Panicum virgatum (switchgrass), 719 nucleotides long. RefSeq lists it as uncharacterized. Lineage: Eukaryota; Viridiplantae; Streptophyta; Magnoliopsida; Poales; Poaceae. The transcript is spliced from 4 exons. The record is from RefSeq and is a predicted model, not a curated record.